Molecule: ribosomal RNA, 1419 nt
Filed under: Klebsiella pneumoniae
Lineage: Bacteria; Pseudomonadati; Pseudomonadota; Gammaproteobacteria; Enterobacterales; Enterobacteriaceae
Description: bacterial SSU rRNA
Rfam family: Bacterial small subunit ribosomal RNA
Source: RNAcentral
AGCUACACAUGCAGUCGAGCGGUAGCACAGAGAGCUUGCUCUCGGGUGACGAGCGGCGGACGGGUGAGUAAUGUCUGGGAAACUGCCUGAUGGAGGGGGAUAACUACUGGAAACGGUAGCUAAUACCGCAUAACGUCGCAAGACCAAAGUGGGGGACCUUCGGGCCUCAUGCCAUCAGAUGUGCCCAGAUGGGAUUAGCUAGUAGGUGGGGUAACGGCUCACCUAGGCGACGAUCCCUAGCUGGUCUGAGAGGAUGACCAGCCACACUGGAACUGAGACACGGUCCAGACUCCUACGGGAGGCAGCAGUGGGGAAUAUUGCACAAUGGGCGCAAGCCUGAUGCAGCCAUGCCGCGUGUGUGAAGAAGGCCUUCGGGUUGUAAAGCACUUUCAGCGGGGAGGAAGGCGAUAAGGUUAAUAACCUUGUCGAUUGACGUUACCCGCAGAAGAAGCACCGGCUAACUCCGUGCCAGCAGCCGCGGUAAUACGGAGGGUGCAAGCGUUAAUCGGAAUUACUGGGCGUAAAGCGCACGCAGGCGGUCUGUCAAGUCGGAUGUGAAAUCCCCGGGCUCAACCUGGGAACUGCAUUCGAAACUGGCAGGCUAGAGUCUUGUAGAGGGGGGUAGAAUUCCAGGUGUAGCGGUGAAAUGCGUAGAGAUCUGGAGGAAUACCGGUGGCGAAGGCGGCCCCCUGGACAAAGACUGACGCUCAGGUGCGAAAGCGUGGGGAGCAAACAGGAUUAGAUACCCUGGUAGUCCACGCCGUAAACGAUGUCGAUUUGGAGGUUGUGCCCUUGAGGCGUGGCUUCCGGAGCUAACGCGUUAAAUCGACCGCCUGGGGAGUACGGCCGCAAGGUUAAAACUCAAAUGAAUUGACGGGGGCCCGCACAAGCGGUGGAGCAUGUGGUUUAAUUCGAUGCAACGCGAAGAACCUUACCUGGUCUUGACAUCCACAGAACUUUCCAGAGAUGGAUUGGUGCCUUCGGGAACUGUGAGACAGGUGCUGCAUGGCUGUCGUCAGCUCGUGUUGUGAAAUGUUGGGUUAAGUCCCGCAACGAGCGCAACCCUUAUCCUUUGUUGCCAGCGGUUAGGCCGGGAACUCAAAGGAGACUGCCAGUGAUAAACUGGAGGAAGGUGGGGAUGACGUCAAGUCAUCAUGGCCCUUACGACCAGGGCUACACACGUGCUACAAUGGCAUAUACAAAGAGAAGCGACCUCGCGAGAGCAAGCGGACCUCAUAAAGUAUGUCGUAGUCCGGAUUGGAGUCUGCAACUCGACUCCAUGAAGUCGGAAUCGCUAGUAAUCGUAGAUCAGAAUGCUACGGUGAAUACGUUCCCGGGCCUUGUACACACCGCCCGUCACACCAUGGGAGUGGGUUGCAAAAGAAGUAGGUAGCUUAACCUUCGGGAGGGCGCUACCAC